GAGGAGAGCGAGAGAGAGAGAGGAUAAGGGAGGGAGAGGAGUGAUGGGGAGUGGAAGAAGAGAGAGGGAGAGAGCGAGAUAAGAGAAACAGAAAGAGAGGGGUCGGCGACUGCCUUCACAAACGUGCCACUUCCGCACUGCUGACAAUUAGAGUAAUUGCCAUGGCAACGGUUGCCAGGGUGUCGCCAGGGCAUCUCCAGCCCGUCUCUCCAGCAGUAGCUACUGUGUUUACUGCUUAGACCUGGUGGUAAAAGUGAGAUUUCUAAAUGUGGUGUAGCUACAGACUGUAAUGUAUCUAGACUGGUCCCAGAUCUGUGGUGAGGUUUCUAAAUGUGGUGUAGUUACAGACUGUAAUGUAUCUAGAGACUGGUCCCAGAUCUGUGGUGAGGUUUCUAAAUGUGGUGUAGCUACAGACUGUAAUGUAUCUAGAGACUGGUCCCAGAUCUGUGGUGUGGUUUCUAAAUGUGGUGUAGCUACAGACUGUAAUGUAUCUAGAGACUGGUCCCAGAUCUGUGGUGAGGUUUCUAAAUGUGGUGUAGCUACAGACUGUAAUGUAUCUAGACUGGUCCCAGAUCUGUGGUGAGGUUUCUAAAUGUGGUGUAGCUACAGACUGUAAUGUAUCUAGAGACUGGUCCCAGAUCUGUGGUGAGGUUUAUAAAUGUGGUGUAGCUACAGACUGUAAUGUACCUAGAGACUGGUCCCAGAUCUGUGGUGAGGUUUCUAAAUGUGGUGUAGCUAUAGACUGUAAUGUAUCUAGAGACUGGUCCCAGAUCUGUGGUGAGGUUUCUAAAUGUGGUGUAGCUACAGACUGUAAUGUAUCUAGACUGGUCCCAGAUCUGUGGUGAGGUUUCUAAAUGUGGUGUAGCUACAGACUGUAAUGUAUCUAGAGACUGGUCCCAGAUCUGUGGUGUGGUUUCUAAAUGUGGUGUAGCUACAGACUGUAAUGUAUCUAGAGACUGGUCCCAGAUCUGUGGUGAGGUUUCUAAAUGUGGUGUAGCUACAGACUGUAAUGUAUCUAGACUGGUCCCAGAUCUGUGGUGUGGUUUCUAAAUGUGGUGUAGCUACAGACUGUAAUGUAUCUAGAGACUGGUCCCAGAUCUGUGGUGAGGUUUCUAAAUGUGGUGUAGCUACAGACUGUAAUUUAUCUAGACUGGUCCCAGAUCUGUGGUGAGGUUUCUAAAUGUGGUGUAGUUACAGACUGUAAUGUAUCUAGAGACUGGUCCCAGAUCUGUGGUGAGGUUUCUAAAUGUGGUGUAGCUACAGACUGUAAUGUAUCUAGAGACUGGUCCCAGAUCUGUGGUGUGGUUUCUAAAUGUGGUGUAGCUACAGACUGUAAUGUAUCUAGAGACUGGUCCCAGAUCUGUGGUGAGGUUUCUAAAUGUGGUGUAGCUACAGACUGUAAUGUAUCUAGAGACUGGUCCCAGAUCUGUGGUGAGGUUUCUAAAUGUGGUGUAGCUACAGACUGUAAUGUAUCUAGAGACUGGUCCCAG
Oncorhynchus keta (chum salmon) is the source of this 1490-nucleotide long non-coding RNA. RefSeq lists it as uncharacterized. NCBI's taxonomy places the organism in Eukaryota, Metazoa, Chordata, Actinopteri, Salmoniformes, Salmonidae. The transcript is spliced from 3 exons. The record is from RefSeq and is a predicted model, not a curated record.